GUGGGGGAGUGCCAUCCCGAAGUCAUCGGGCUUCUUCCUAUGUCUUAGUAUUUAUCCGUUCACAUGUAGCAUAUUGUAUGUUGCUAUGCAUUAUAGGAUGACAAUACAUGCAUUCCUAAUCCUUAUAUGAUGUUUAUGAUCAAUAUAGUAUUAUGAUAUGGAUAUAUGAUGUGAUGGACAUAAGGAUUAUGAGGUGACAUUGGUAAACCUAUGAUGCUAAAUGAAAGAAGAACCUAGUGUUGUGUUUAAAGACAUAGUUUACAAGUGGCAUUGAACUCAUUGUGCUAAAAACACAUAUGACUUGAACUAGUAAUGGAUUGGUUGUUGUACUAGAAACUCUAGUAACAUUGAUCAAGUUGCAUAUUGGGAUAUUGCAUUAUAGGGUACUAGUUGGCAAUUGUUACAUGUCAUGGCAUGCUAGUGAGAGUGUAGUGUUACUUGAUUAAUACUUGUACCUAGUAUGCAUGAGAUUGGGACUUAGUGUGGUGAAACCCUAUAAGGGCAUGAUUAAUGUGGGUUAAACUUGUUGAGUGCAUUAAUCGAUUAAGUUGCAUAUUGUAUUUAUUGCACUUAGGUGCUAGAUGAUUAUGGUCAUUGCUCAUAUUUGCAUGCUAGUAGCUAUACAUCUUGAUGAUUGUUCCAUGAUCUAGUAUGCAUGAUGAUUACAUGAUGAAAACCCUACAAUGAGAACCUAGACCCUAUAUGUGAGAUGAUUAAUGCUUAUAUUGCUAAAGAACUAGUAUGAUGUAACUAGUGUUGAAAUGAGUCUAAAUGACGAGUGGCAUCUAGUUUAGAAAACUAUGAUGAGUGGCAUGUGAUUGUUGAUAACCUUGACAUGAGAACCUUAGUGUAGUUGAAACACUAUGAGAUUGGGUACAAGAACACCUUGAUUCCAUGAUGAGAUUACCCUUAGAGGGUAGGUUGCUGUUGCUCGUGAGAUGAUCACGCUUACAUUGCCUGUCUGCGCUUGGUGGGGUCGCUCCCCCCAGGUUGUGCGCUCCGGAGUUUGGUCACUAGAGAGGCAGCCGUGCUCGCUGCUCGGAUAGCCGCUUGUUAUCCGCAGGCGUACUCGGGGAUAGUCCAGCUCGACAUCCCUAGGAGAUUGAUAUGUGAGCCUUGCUUGUGAACCACGAGUUCACCUUGAGAUUGGGUUACCUAUUGAGCCAUACCCAUUAUUGUUGUUCAUGAUAGCUUGCUUCCAUAGUUGUUGUUGUUGUUGUUCAUAGUAGCUUACUAGUGUUCAUAGUAGCUUACUUAUUGCUCAUGCCUUCAUGAUAUACUAUUCCUUCACCUAUGAGAUUUGAGUACCUAUUGAGUCAUACUCAUUAUUGUUGUUCAUGAUAGCUUGUUUCCAUAGUUGUUGUUGUUGUUCACCUUUGAGAUAUGAGUCGAGUAGACCAGAAUGAGGUAGCUUUUCACCUACUAGAUUUGAGAUCUUAGGCAAAGUAGCCUAGCGGAUUGGGUAAUAACAUGAAUAGCAUAAGAGUAUUGCAUUCAUACCAUGAUUAGACAUAGUGCAUUGCAUAACUAUGUUAUAGUUGUAUUCAUUUCACUGUUGAGGCAUAUUAGCAUGAUAGUAGAUUGUUGCUAGAUGAUGUUCCAUGCAUACUUUGCAUUUGAUGGCAUAGUAGAUAUAGUAGUAGUAUUUCCAUAUAUCUUUCUAUCUAUCUAUCUGUGCCAGCUUGGACCUAGUGGGAAGAUCGGCGGAGUCGGCGGCCGAACCCACUGGGAACUAUAUUUAUAUAGUUCUCACCCCGUGUGGUUUUGGGGUACAGGUACACAUGAGAGCGGAUCGACAGAGGAUCGCAGUUU
RNAcentral lists this long non-coding RNA (1812 nucleotides) under Ananas comosus (pineapple). RNAcentral's name for it is "long non-coding RNA (ACOM_LNC042030)". The record is from RNAcentral. Lineage: Eukaryota; Viridiplantae; Streptophyta; Magnoliopsida; Poales; Bromeliaceae.